AACGGUGAAGCCCUUCGGGGUGGAUCAGUGGCGAACGGGUGAGUAACACGUGAGCAACCUGCCCUCCACUUCGGGAUAAGCCUUGGAAACGGGGUCUAAUACCGGAUAUGAGUGCCUGCCGCAUGGUGGGUGUUGGAAAGUUUUUCGGUGGGGGAUGGGCUCGCGGCCUAUCAGCUUGUUGGUGGGGUAAUGGCCUACCAAGGCGUCGACGGGUAGCCGGCCUGAGAGGGCGACCGGCCACACUGGGACUGAGACACGGCCCAGACUCCUACGGGAGGCAGCAGUGGGGAAUAUUGCACAAUGGGCGAAAGCCUGAUGCAGCGACGCCGCGUGAGGGAUGACGGCCUUCGGGUUGUAAACCUCUUUCAGCAGGGAAGAAGCGCAAGUGACGGUACCUGCAGAAGAAGCGCCGGCUAACUACGUGCCAGCAGCCGCGGUAAUACGUAGGGCGCAAGCGUUGUCCGGAAUUAUUGGGCGUAAAGAGCUUGUAGGCGGUCUGUCGCGUCUGGUGUGAAAUCCCGAGGCUCAACCUCGGGCUUGCAUCGGGUACGGGCGGACUAGAGUGCUGUAGGGGAGACUGGAAUUCCUGGUGUAGCGGUGGAAUGCGCAGAUAUCAGGAGGAACACCGAUGGCGAAGGCAGGUCUCUGGGCAGUUACUGACGCUGAGGAGCGAAAGCAUGGGGAGCGAACAGGAUUAGAUACCCUGGUAGUCCAUGCCGUAAACGUUGGGCACUAGUGUGGGGACCAUU
Molecule: ribosomal RNA, 749 nt
Filed under: Xylanimonas pachnodae
Lineage: Bacteria; Bacillati; Actinomycetota; Actinomycetes; Micrococcales; Promicromonosporaceae
Description: bacterial SSU rRNA
Rfam family: Bacterial small subunit ribosomal RNA
Source: RNAcentral